Molecule: ribosomal RNA, 488 nt
Filed under: uncultured bacterium
Lineage: Bacteria
Description: partial 16S ribosomal RNA
Rfam family: Bacterial small subunit ribosomal RNA
Source: RNAcentral
AUUGAACGCUGGCGGCAGGCCUAACACAUGCAAGUCGAACGGUAACAGGAAAAAGCUUGCUUCUUUGCUGACGAGUGGCGGACGGGUGAGUAAUGUCUGGGAAACUGCCUGAUGGAGGGGGAUAACUACUGGAAACGGUAGCUAAUACCGCAUAACGUCGCAAGACCAAAGAGGGGGACCUUCGGGCCUCUUGCCAUCGGAUGUGCCCAGAUGGGAUUAGCUAGUAGGUGGGGUAACGGCUCACCUAGGCGACGAUCCCUAGCUGGUCUGAGAGGAUGACCAGCCACACUGGAACUGAGACACGGUCCAGACUCCUACGGGAGGCAGCAGUGGGGAAUAGUGCACAAUGGGCGCAAGCCUGAUGCAGCCAUGCCGCGUGUAUGAAGAAGGCCGUCGGGUUGUAAAGUACUUUCAGCGGGGAGGAAGGGAGUAAAGUUAAUACCUUUGCUCAUUGACGUUACCCGCAGAAGAAGCACCGGCUAACUCCG